UACGUAGGGUGCAAGCGUUAAUCGGAAUUACUGGGCGUAAAGCGUGCGCAGGCGGUUUUGUAAGUCUGACGUGAAAUCCCCGGGCUUAACCUGGGAAUUGCGUUGGAGACUGCAAGGCUAGAGUCUGGCAGAGGGGGGUAGAAUUCCACGUGUGAGCAGUGAAAUGCGUAGAGAUGUGGAGGAACACCGAUGGCGAAGGCAGCCCC
RNAcentral lists this ribosomal RNA (206 nucleotides) under uncultured bacterium. RNAcentral describes it as "partial 16S ribosomal RNA". It matches the Rfam family "Bacterial small subunit ribosomal RNA", at positions 524 to 728 of the family's 1533-position model. The record is from RNAcentral.